This 468-nucleotide ribosomal RNA is filed under the name uncultured bacterium. RNAcentral describes it as "partial 16S ribosomal RNA". It matches the Rfam family "Bacterial small subunit ribosomal RNA", at positions 28 to 507 of the family's 1533-position model. The record is from RNAcentral.
GACGAACGCUGGCGGCGUGCUUAACACAUGCAAGUCGAACGGAAAGGCCCUGCUUUUGUGGGGUGCUCGAGUGGCGAACGGGUGAGUAACACGUGAGUAACCUGCCCUUGACUUUGGGAUAACUUCAGGAAACUGGGGCUAAUACCGGAUAGGAGCUCCUGCUGCAUGGUGGGGGUUGGAAAGUUUCGGCGGUUGGGGAUGGACUGCCGGCUUUUCAGCUUGUUGGUGGGGUAGUGGCUUACCAAGGCUUUGACGGGUAGCCGGCCUGAGAGGGUGACCGGCCACAUUGGGACUGAGAUACGGCCCAGACUCCUACGGGAGGCAGCAGUGGGGAAUAUUGCACAAUGGGCGGAAGCCUGAUGCAGCAACGCCGCGUGCGGGAUGACGGCCUUCGGGUUGUAAACCGCUUUCGCCUGUGACGAAGCGUGAGUGACGGUAAUGGGUAAAGAAGCACCGGCUAACUACGUG